Molecule: long non-coding RNA, 297 nt
Filed under: Homo sapiens (human)
Lineage: Eukaryota; Metazoa; Chordata; Mammalia; Primates; Hominidae
Description: HSALNT0124045
Source: RNAcentral
AAUGGAUCCUAUUUUGAGGACGCCAUUUUUACAUUUGAAAGGCGUUGGUUGAACUCUCACUUCCGGCUGUUGGUUUGAAGGCAGAGCCACGGCACAAAAGAAGAUAAAGGAAAGAUAUAUCAAAAAGGAGUAAUGCAAUGAAGACACAGAAGAGGGAAUGAGCCCAUCUCCUUCUGGGUAUUGGGAAGGCUUUAUGGAAGCUGUGGCAUUGUAGAUAGGAGCUAAUGAAGGAUUGUAGCAGAAAACCAAGAGAAAGGUAGAUGUUGCUAUAUGAAGAGAGGUGAUGUGAUAUCUAGA